GAUGAACGCUGGCGGCGUGCCUAAUACAUGCAAGUCGAGCGAACAGACGAGGAGCUUGCUCCUCUGACGUUAGCGGCGGACGGGUGAGUAACACGUGGAUAACCUACCUAUAAGACUGGGAUAACUUCGGGAAACCGGAGCUAAUACCGGAUAAUAUAUUGAACCGCAUGGUUCAAUAGUGAAAGACGGUUUUGCUGUCACUUAUAGAUGGAUCCGCGCCGCAUUAGCUAGUUGGUAAGGUAACGGCUUACCAAGGCGACGAUGCGUAGCCGACCUGAGAGGGUGAUCGGCCACACUGGAACUGAGACACGGUCCAGACUCCUACGGGAGGCAGCAGUAGGGAAUCUUCCGCAAUGGGCGAAAGCCUGACGUAGCAACACCGCGUGAGUGAUGAAGGUCUUCGGAUCGUAAAACUCUGUUAUUAGGGAAGAACAAAUGUGUAAGUAACUAUGCACGUCUUGACGGUACCUAAUCAGAAAGCCACGGCUAACUACGUG
This 497-nucleotide ribosomal RNA is filed under the name uncultured bacterium. RNAcentral's name for it is "partial 16S ribosomal RNA". It matches the Rfam family "Bacterial small subunit ribosomal RNA", at positions 28 to 507 of the family's 1533-position model. The record is from RNAcentral.